UGGGUAACCUGCCUGUAAGACUGGGAUAACUCCGGGAAACCGGAGCUAAUACCGGAUAGUUCCUUGAACCGCAUGGUUCAAGGAUGAAAGACGGUUUCGGCUGUCUUUUACAGAUGGACCCGCGGCGCAUUAGCUAGUUGGUGGGGUAAUGGCUCACCAAGGCGACGAUGCGUAGCCGACCUGAGAGGGUGAUCGGCCACACUGGGACUGAGACACGGCCCAGACUCCUACGGGAGGCAGCAGUAGGGAAUCUUCCGCAAUGGACGAAAGUCUGACGGAGCAACGCCGCGUGAGUGAUGAAGGUUUUCGGAUCGUAAAGCUCUGUUGUUAGGGAAGAACAAGUGCGAGAGUAACUGCUCGCACCUUGACGGUACCUAACCAGAAAGGCACGGCUAACUACGUGCCAGCAGCCGCGGUAAUACGUAGGUGGCAAGCGUUGUCCGGAAUUAUUGGGCGUAAAGGGCUCGCAGGCGGUUUCUUAAGUCUGAUGUGAAAGCCCCCGGCUCAACCGGGGAGGGUCAUUGGAAACUGGGAAACUUGAGUGCAGAAGAGGAGAGUGGAAUUCCACGUGUAGCGGUGGAAAUGCGUAGAGAUGUGGAGGAACACCAGUGGCGAAGGCGACUCUCUGGUCUGUAACUGACGCUGAGGAGCGAAAGCGUGGGGGAGCGAACA
This 672-nucleotide ribosomal RNA is filed under the name Bacillus pumilus. RNAcentral describes it as "bacterial SSU rRNA". It matches the Rfam family "Bacterial small subunit ribosomal RNA", at positions 118 to 774 of the family's 1533-position model. The record is from RNAcentral. Lineage: Bacteria; Bacillati; Bacillota; Bacilli; Caryophanales; Bacillaceae.